This is a long non-coding RNA of Brassica napus (rape), 1977 nucleotides long. RefSeq lists it as uncharacterized. NCBI's taxonomy places the organism in Eukaryota, Viridiplantae, Streptophyta, Magnoliopsida, Brassicales, Brassicaceae. The transcript has 4 exons. The record is from RefSeq and is a predicted model, not a curated record.
GGACAUUUUCAUUUUGCCACGUCACACCAAUUUGAGCUGUUUUUUUACAUGAUCCGUAAGUCGUAAAUAUUGGCCCAUAAGCCCAAUCCAGAAACCUAAAACGCCGAAGCUUGCUAAAACCUAUCCAUUAAAUUAAACUCUGUUUCUGGUACGUUACUUUUUUGUUUCAAUAAACUUUUCGUCUUCUUCUCUUCCUUAUUAACAAGCUUCUCCUUUGAAGUCUCAAGGGCUCUUCCAUCUCGAGUUCUGCUUCUCAUGCCGUCUAAGACCUCUCUCGAUGCCGCUGCAUCUCUGACUCCACCACUGCGCCUCCGACUACUCUACGCUGCGCCUCCUCCUUUGCGAGCGGCUCCAUAUCUCCUCCUCGGCCUCAGUAUCAUACGCGACUCCUAAUUUCUUUUGCUUCUCUUUCUGUCGCCGGCAAUCGUGGCUAAUCCUCUUGGAUCUGCUCUGAGGGAAGUUAUCGACAGAUAUAGUGAAUGGGAGUAUUAAAUCACAGAUGAAUGGACAAUACUAUGGAUCCUGAACUCAUGUUUUUACCGUUGGAAAGAUGAUUUUGAGGAUGGAUCACAACGGCUUCAGCCCCAAAACGAGAUUCAGCCUCGCUGCUUCUUCUCUUGCUGUAGCGACGUUGGUUGUCCCCAUCUUCUUCCCGACUUGGCCAACGAGAAUGAGAACAGUAACAGAGGCUCAUCAGAUCGUGAUCUGAUUUCUGUCGGCAUGCGGUUGGAUCCUAACGGUAAAAUCGCUGUGGAAUGGGACCCCGUUGGUGCAUUUUACUUUUCAGUGCCUCAGAUACCUUAAAGUUUUGAAUCUUUGAACUGAUUUUCUGGAGGAGAUUUGUUUGACUAAUAUGUAUGCUUUGUAUAAACUAGCUGAUGCAGAUGCAUGUUGAAUUUAACGAAUUUGGUGGAAUCUCAAUGUUUGAUGCAACUCUUGCUUGGGACAAUGAAACCGUCUUGGACGCUGUAGAAUGUUAUUGAAGCACUUUAGGAGACUAUACUUUUUGAUUCUACAACAAAUUGUCUGAGUGUUUUUUUUUACGCUCAAGCCAACCAUCUAUGAUGAGCACCAAUAACAUUGUGCUUCUUAAACGACAAAAAUGAGAGCAUUCUCCUUUUUUAUAUAUCAAAACUUAUUUUUCCUAUUUGAAUUUGUGUGAAUAUCAAAUAUUAUAGAAUCUUUUUAUGUUUUUAUAAACUAUUUAGUGGGUAGGAUAUAAUAUAAGAAAGGAGAAUGCUCUCAUUUUUGUUGUUAUAGUGUUGCGUCUAGGUUUCUCACAUAUUUGUGGUAUUAAAAAUCUUUUUAAUAGUUGGCCAAGAUACCAAGAUUGAAUUCAGAAUACAUAAACAGUUCAUUCGAUGUUGGAAAGUUUCUCUUAAUUGUAUUACUUUUAUUAUAAUCUUAUGAGUUGUAGAUGGGAGGUUAAGCUCUAAUUCAUGUAUUGUAUUUUACUUUUAUUCUUUCUUUGAAAUAUUAUCAAAGGGAUAUCAUCUGGGUGAAAAAAAAUCCCGUAGAAGUUGUAUAUCCCACUCCUUAGUAUCAUUCCUAAUAAAAGAUUGAACAACGAGUUGAAGUAGUCUGUAUACAAUGUGAUCAGCAGGUCUAGGUGGUCGAGCCACUACAUCUGGAACCCAAGAUUCACUCCAAACCCUUGUAUCUUGACAUGUGCCUAUCGUUUUGCGUAAACCCGAUAUGAGUAGAGGUUUUGCUAUCAUGAUACUACGGCAUCCAUAAGAUGGUGAGUAUGUACGCCGAUCUUCCAAAGGAGCGAUCUGAUUAUUAUCACAUGUUUUAAAAGGAAGACAUCAUAUAUUUGUUUAACCACUUAAAUAUUGACGAAAAUACAUUUUCAACUUGUUCUAAUAUUUCAUAGUAAAUAUAUUUAAUUUUUAGAUGAUAAUUAAUGUUCAACACGAAAAACAUGUAUAUAAAUGUGUUUAUUGAAAUAGUAAUACUCUUUAUUCUUUUAAUAUU